AGGGAAACCGAGUCUUAACUGGGCGUUAAGUUGCAGGGUAUAGACCCGAAACCCGGUGAUCUAGCCAUGGGCAGGUUGAAGGUUGGGUAACACUAACUGGAGGACCGAACCGACUAAUGUUGAAAAAUUAGCGGAUGACUUGUGGCUGGGGGUGAAAGGCCAAUCAAACCGGGAGAUAGCUGGUUCUCCCCGAAAGCUAUUUAGGUAGCGCCUCGUGAACUCAUCUUCGGGGGUAGAGCACUGUUUCGGCUAGGGGGUCAUCCCGACUUACCAACCCGAUGCAAACUGCGAAUACCGAAGAAUGUUAUCACGGGAGACACACGGCGGGUGCUAACGUCCGUCGUGAAGAGGGAAACAACCCAGACCGCCAGCUAAGGUCCCAAAGUCACAGUUAAGUGGGAAACGAUGUGGGAAGGCUCAGACAGCCAGGAUGUUGGCUUAGAAGCAGCCAUCAUUUAAAGAAAGCGUAAUAGCUCACUGGUCGAGUCGGCCUGCGCGGAAGAUGUAACGGGGCUAAACUGUGCACCGAAGCUGCGGCAGCGACGCUUAUGCGUUGUUGGGUAGGGGAGCGUUCUGUAAGCCUGCGAAGGUGUCCUGUGAGGGAUGCUGGAGGUAUCAGAAGUGCGAAUGCUGACAUAAGUAACGAUAAUGCGGGUGAAAAGCCCGCUCGCCGGAAGACCAAGGGUUCCUGUCCAACGUUAAUCGG
RNAcentral lists this ribosomal RNA (706 nucleotides) under Salmonella enterica subsp. enterica serovar Kentucky. Its description in RNAcentral is "partial 23S ribosomal RNA". It matches the Rfam family "Bacterial large subunit ribosomal RNA", at positions 670 to 1372 of the family's 2925-position model. The record is from RNAcentral. Lineage: Bacteria; Pseudomonadati; Pseudomonadota; Gammaproteobacteria; Enterobacterales; Enterobacteriaceae.